AUGCAAACUGCUGAUGGCACAAACCAGCCUGUCAUAGGGGUUGGCACAGUCAAGUGCACUCCGACCAUCUCCCUAUCCUCAGUGUUACAUGUACCAGCUUUUCCUGUCAAUUUGGUCUCUUUCAGUGCUCUAAUUGAUCAAAUUGACUGUCGUGUGAUCCUUGACAAAUUCGGUUGCGUGAUUCAGGAGCGCCAGACGAGCCAGACGGUUGGGACUGGCACCAGGCGUAGGGGGCUUUGGUACAUGGACCAGGAGGUGCAGCCGGACUUGGUGUGUGCUGCGACCAUGGAGGACAAGGAGAAGGAGGCGAUGAUCCAUCACUGUAGGAUGGGACAUGUAUCUUUUGAUAAGAUGAGUAGAAUCUUUCCGGAUGUUAUGUGUGGGAUAGGCAAGGGCAAGUUGACAUGUGAUGCUUGC
RNAcentral lists this ribosomal RNA (417 nucleotides) under Triticum aestivum (bread wheat). RNAcentral's name for it is "partial small subunit ribosomal RNA". Lineage: Eukaryota; Viridiplantae; Streptophyta; Magnoliopsida; Poales; Poaceae. The record is from RNAcentral.